GUGACAAACCGGAGGAAGGUGGGGAUGACGUCAAAUCAUCAUGCCCCUUAUGAUUUGGGCUACACACGUGCUACAAUGGACAAUACAAAGGGCAGCGAAACCGCGAGGUCAAGCAAAUCCCAUAAAGUUGUUCUCAGUUCGGAUUGUAGUCUGCAACUCGACUAUAUGAAGCUGGAAUCGCUAGUAAUCGUAGAUCAGCAUGCUACGGUGAAUACGUUCCCGGGUCUUGUACACACCGCCCGUCACACCACGAGAGUUUGUAACACCCGAAGCCGGUGGAGUAACCAUUUGGAGCUAGCCGUCGAAGGUGGGACAAAUGAUUGGGGUGAAGUCGUAACAAGGUAGCCGUAUCGGAAGGUGCGGCUGGAUCACCUCCUUUCUAAGGAUA
RNAcentral lists this ribosomal RNA (388 nucleotides) under uncultured bacterium. RNAcentral's name for it is "bacterial SSU rRNA". It matches the Rfam family "Bacterial small subunit ribosomal RNA", at positions 1155 to 1533 of the family's 1533-position model. The record is from RNAcentral.